GUGCUCACUUCAGCAGCACAUAAUACUAAGGUUGGAAAGAUAUAGAAAAGAUUAGCAUGGCCCCUGAGCAAGGAUGACACGCAAAUUCAUGAAGUGUUCCAUAUUUUU
Molecule: small nuclear RNA, 108 nt
Organism: Molossus molossus (Pallas's mastiff bat)
Lineage: Eukaryota; Metazoa; Chordata; Mammalia; Chiroptera; Molossidae
Source: RefSeq, a predicted model, not a curated record